Long non-coding RNA from Canis lupus familiaris (dog), 722 nucleotides. RefSeq lists it as uncharacterized. The record is from RefSeq and is a predicted model, not a curated record. Lineage: Eukaryota; Metazoa; Chordata; Mammalia; Carnivora; Canidae. The transcript is spliced from 3 exons.
GAGAAGGAAAACAUGUGAUAUAGGGUAGUUUACAUUCUGCAUACUAAGCUGAGACAAGGAGGAACAAUUUCAAGAAAUUCAAGUAGAGAAGCUAUUCUUUAUCUUGAAAAAUUGAUGGUUCCCACUCCUACUAAUAGACUAAAGGCAGCCCUCUGGACAAAUGUUCCUAGCCAGCCACUCACUUUGAAGCCUCAUCUCUGGAUCCUGAUUUCAUAUGUAUAGUGGAAACUUGACUUUGACUCUGCUAAAAGGUAAUGCAACGAUCUUGAAGGAGUGGACGGUGUGGCUGGAGUGUCAGGGGCUCAGAGGAGAGAAGAAACUAUCUCAGAUACAACUCAACUCCUCUGACAUGUCUCCAUGGAGUGGAGCCUAUGGCCACUGGCCAGCCUAACUGUCCAAAAUAGAGCGAGCAUGUGAGGUUGCUCUUCAGCACUGAGAUGGAGUGAGUUCUUAACCCUCCUACAAGCUGUUGAUUAAGAGCCGCAUUUUCAAAGAAUAAGAAUUUGAUUCUGAGAAGCAAGACUAACUGUCCAAUUGGGUGGCUCAGAAUUUCCUUGGUUAUGGAAGGAAUAGAGGGGAAAAGAGAGAGAGAGAGAGAGAGAGAGAACUUGGAACAUUUGGGGCAACAUUCAGUCUUCUCUUCAUGUGCUUUUUCCCCAAGAAGGACGAUUUAAAAAAAAAAAUCAAUUGCCCAGUAGAUAGAUGGAGAGAGAGAGAAUUUU